UAACCUUUAAACCACAAUUAAAAAAUGAAUGGAAGGGUCCUUGUAAACUUAACUUAGUUGGUAGAAACAAUGCAUAAUAUAUGUAGAGUCAGGGUUCAAAACCUGACACUCUACUUCUCGACAUUUAAAAAAUAUACUUGAAAAUAAAAUGAAUGGAAGGAGAAUGAAGCAUGAGGAAAUUGUGAAGUUGUUGGUCAUUUCUCAACCAAG
This 210-nucleotide long non-coding RNA is filed under the name Medicago truncatula (barrel medic). RNAcentral's name for it is "long non-coding RNA (MTRU_LNC004473)". Lineage: Eukaryota; Viridiplantae; Streptophyta; Magnoliopsida; Fabales; Fabaceae. The record is from RNAcentral.